AAAGACCUCAAAAAGUGGGAUGAGUUUGAAGACCUGUUGGAGGAGAGGAGACAGGUCAGUGAUUUCAAAUUUGCAAUGAAGUGCUACACACCACCCUUGUAUAGAGGAAUUACUCCCUGCAAGCCAAGUGAUAUCAAGUCCAUCGUUCUCAAUUCUGAAGAGAUUAACUAUGUCAUUAAGCAGGUAAGAACAGUGUUCUUCAGGCACAGCCACCCUCCUCCAAUGUAAGUGGGUCCGUCUGCUGCUUCCCUGAAUUUACCUUAUCAUCUCAAGUGUACUUUUAGGUUAGCCACAUGGCACUCAAAUGUGUGCUGGAAGGCCAGCCGAGAAGUACCGUGGCACCAAAUGCAUGGCAUAUGAUGAAACACAGCUUGCACUGAAGACCCCACAGCUUGAAGGUGCCAGUUAGUUAUGAGCAGAGCUGAUUUGGUGCAGGGAGCAGGGAGGGUUUGGGUUUAACCAGACCUGACAGAGGUCCAGGCUUUCCUAGUAGAGGGGGUAGUGAGAGAUUUUAGCUAAACAGAUCACGUCAGACCUGCACCUGAAAACUUUAUGAGACGCCCCGAGGAAGCCUGUGCCUACAUCUCACCCCUGUGUCAGCUGCAUUCAAAUCCUGCAUCAGUAGCUUUUCAAGAAGCUGGGAGCCACAUUUGUUUUCAGAACAGGAGGUCAGAGAGAAGGUUCACAUAGAAUGCUGCAAAGGUUCAGUUUGACCAGUGCAGAGGACAGAAACUGUGGUAAAAUGCAGGGAGCUCCUGGGUGAGUGGGGCUCAGUGGGAGCUGCAAAGCCAGAUGAAGGGCUUUGUCUGCAGUGCCAUGCCCUCGGAUGCUCACAUGGGGUGUGCGUGCUCAUGGGGUGCAGGAGCACUUCUCUGGUUUUACUUUAGAUGUAGACCUUGACCCGUGCCUUUAA
Molecule: long non-coding RNA, 913 nt
Filed under: Rattus norvegicus (Norway rat)
Lineage: Eukaryota; Metazoa; Chordata; Mammalia; Rodentia; Muridae
Description: long non-coding RNA NONRATT014409
Source: RNAcentral